UACAGAGACUGCGAGCGUUAUUCGGAUUCACUGGGCGUAAAGGGUGCGCAGGCGGCCAAGUGUGUUAGGCGUGAAAGCCCGGGGCUUAACCCCGGAAUUGCACCUAAAACUACAUGGCUAGAGCAUUGGAGAGGGUAGCAGAAUUCACGGUGUAGCAGUGAAAUGCGUAGAUAUCGUGAGGAAUACCAGAGGCGAAGGCGGCUACCUGGACAAUUGCUGACGCUCAGGCACGAAAGCGUGGGGAGCAAAAGGG
This 253-nucleotide ribosomal RNA is filed under the name uncultured bacterium. RNAcentral describes it as "partial 16S ribosomal RNA". It matches the Rfam family "Bacterial small subunit ribosomal RNA", at positions 524 to 776 of the family's 1533-position model. The record is from RNAcentral.